CCUACGGGAGGCAGCAGCGGGGAAUAUUGGACAAUGGGGGCAACCCUGAUCCAGCCAUGCCGCGUGUGUGAAGAAGGCCCUCGGGUUGUAAAGCACUUUCAGCGAGGAAGAACGCCUAGCGGUUAAUACCCGCUAGGAAAGACAUCACUCGCAGAAGAAGCACCGGCUAACUCCGUGCCAGCAGCCGCGGUAAUACGGAGGGUGCAAGCGUUAAUCGGAAUUACUGGGCGUAAAGCGCGCGUAGGUGGCUUGAUAAGCCGGUUGUGAAAGCCCCGGGCUCAACCUGGGAACGGCAUCCGGAACUGUCAAGCUAGAGUGCAGGAGAGGAAGGUAGAAUUCCCGGUGUAGCGGUGAAAUGCGUAGAGAUCGGGAGGAAUACCAGUGGCGAAGGCGGCCUUCUGGACUGACACUGACACUGAGGUGCGAAAGCGUGGGUAGCAAACAGGAUUAGAUACCCUGGUAGUCCACGCCGUAAACGAUGUCGACCAGCCGUUGGGUGCCUAGCGCACUUUGUGGCGAAGUUAACGCGAUAAGUCGACCGCCUGGGGAGUACGGCCGCAAGGUUAAAACUCAAAUGAAUUGACGGA
RNAcentral lists this ribosomal RNA (587 nucleotides) under uncultured bacterium. RNAcentral's name for it is "bacterial SSU rRNA". It matches the Rfam family "Bacterial small subunit ribosomal RNA", at positions 338 to 917 of the family's 1533-position model. The record is from RNAcentral.